CGACGAUCAGUAGCUGGUCUGAGAGGACGACCAGCCACACUGGAACUGAGACACGGUCCAGACUCCUACGGGAGGCAGCAGUGGGGAAUUUUGGACAAUGGGCGCAAGCCUGAUCCAGCAAUGCCGCGUGAGUGAAGAAGGCCUUCGGGUUGUAAAGCUCUUUUGUCAGGGAAGAAACGGCUCCGGCUAAUAUCU
RNAcentral lists this ribosomal RNA (195 nucleotides) under uncultured Massilia sp. Its description in RNAcentral is "partial 16S ribosomal RNA". It matches the Rfam family "Bacterial small subunit ribosomal RNA", at positions 274 to 468 of the family's 1533-position model. Lineage: Bacteria; Pseudomonadati; Pseudomonadota; Betaproteobacteria; Burkholderiales; Oxalobacteraceae. The record is from RNAcentral.